AGUGAACGCUGGCGGUAGGCCUAACACAUGCAAGUCGAACGGCAGCACAGUAAGAGCUUGCUCUUACGGGUGGCGGGUGGCGGACGGGUGAGGAAUACAUCGGAAUCUACUUUUUCGUGGGGGAUAACGUAGGGAAACUUACGCUAAUACCGCAUACGACCUACGGGUGAAAGCAGGGGAUCUUCGGACCUUGCGCGAUUGAAUGAGCCGAUGUCGGAUUAGCUAGUUGGCGGGGUAAAGGCCCACCAAGGCGACGAUCCGUAGCUGGUCUGAGAGGAUGAUCAGCCACACUGGAACUGAGACACGGUCCAGACUCCUACGGGAGGCGGCAGUGGGGAAUAUUGGACAAUGGGCGCAAGCCUGAUCCAGCCAUACCGCGUGGGUGAAGAAGGCCUUCGGGUUGUAAAGCCCUUUUGUUGGGAAAGAAAAGCAGCAGGUUAAUACCCCGCUGUUCUGACGGUACCCAAAGAAUAAGCACCGGCUAACUUCGUG
RNAcentral lists this ribosomal RNA (492 nucleotides) under uncultured bacterium. RNAcentral describes it as "partial 16S ribosomal RNA". It matches the Rfam family "Bacterial small subunit ribosomal RNA", at positions 29 to 507 of the family's 1533-position model. The record is from RNAcentral.